Molecule: long non-coding RNA, 627 nt
Filed under: Phasianus colchicus (ring-necked pheasant)
Lineage: Eukaryota; Metazoa; Chordata; Aves; Galliformes; Phasianidae
Description: lncRNA (ENSPCLG00000008557.1)
Source: RNAcentral
CUCUCCGAGUUUCCUGCUUCUCAGACUCGAGGCUAAGCUGCCGCAUUACCGGCCUUCGGAUUUAAUUUCGGACUUCCCCGACUCGCUCCCCGCUCGCUCCCCCCUCCCUGCGGCCGCUGCCCAACAGCCGCCGGCGGCAGGUGCGCGCGGCGCCGCUCCGUGCCGCGUGAGUCGAGCCUGAGGUGCGUGAGGCGCGACAGGGAGCUGCCCCGCGCCUCUCCUGGGUGAGCAGCUGCGGGGGGACAGGACUGGUCAAGUGCCUGAAUUGGAUUACCAUCUGGAACAUAAGCAUGCAGUGUCCAGAUCUCACCUUGAUGACAGGUGGUACAUGCUUCCCACUUUGAGAUUUUUCUAUCCCAUCUGUGGAAAAGGUAUCACCGGCUGUAUUCUCAAGGGACUAGGUAAGCACAUAUAAAAUAAUUCAGCAAUUAGAUACAAAACUGCUGUCUCGAGAUGGAAGUGAAUCUAAUAGAAAAGUAGUCUUAGUUAAAUAAUAGAGAUGUGUAGCCACUUCCUCAAAAUAUGUAUUGUUGAAAUUGCUGUACAUACUUGAUCAGUAAAAAAGUGCAACAUGUGCUAACUUAACAGCAGUGCUGAUGCAAAACAUAUCAGAAAGUAGGUCUCUUA